This 416-nucleotide ribosomal RNA is filed under the name uncultured eukaryote. RNAcentral's name for it is "bacterial SSU rRNA". It matches the Rfam family "Eukaryotic small subunit ribosomal RNA", at positions 592 to 1013 of the family's 1831-position model. The record is from RNAcentral.
CAAUAGCGUAUAUUAAAGUUGUUGCGGUUAAAAGCUCGUAGUUGGAUUUCUGUCGAGGGCGGCCGGUCCGCACUAUGUGCGUGUAUCUGGUUCGGUCUUGGCAUCCUCUUGGGGAACGUUUCUGUGCUUGAUUGCAUGGGGCGGGAUUCAAGACUUUUACUUUGAGGAAAUUAGAGUGUUCAAAGCAGGCUAUUGCUUGAAUACAUGAGCAUGGAAUAAUGGAAUAGGACUUUGGUCCCAUUUUGUUGGUUUCUAUGGGCCGAAGUAAUGAUUAAGAGGGACAAUUGGGGGCAUCCGUAUUUCGUUGUCAGAGGUGAAAUUCUUGGAUUUACGAAAGACGAACAACUGCGAAAGCACUUGCCAAGAGUGUUUUCAUUAAUCAAGAACGAAAGUUAGAGGAUCGAAGACGAUCAGAU